UGGAAGUGCCUUCUGAUGAAGAUAAUUAAAGGUUCCUCAACAAGAGAGGGAGAGGACACGGAAGAGGCCAACACAGGGGGGUGGAAGAAAUCAAGACUAUCCAACCACAUGGAGCAGGACCAGAACAAGGCUGUGAUCAACAUUUCUGGAGAACCCCUUUCUGAUGAUUGUGAAUCUACAUCUAAAGGCUUGGUACAAGCAAAACAUCUCUCCAACUACAGACACCAGUGUCUCAGGUCAGGCAGUUUCUUUGCCCUCUAAAACACCUUUUAAGCCCAAGUCCACCUUUUGUCCCAUUGUCCAGAAUGCAAAACUAAAUACAUUUGCCAAGAAGAUUAAUUUUGAUGUGGAGAAUCUGUUUAAGGGUAAAAUUGACUCUGAC
This 382-nucleotide long non-coding RNA is filed under the name Salmo salar (Atlantic salmon). RNAcentral's name for it is "lncRNA (ENSSSAG00000083651.1, ENSSSAG00020015939.1)". The record is from RNAcentral. Lineage: Eukaryota; Metazoa; Chordata; Actinopteri; Salmoniformes; Salmonidae.